CCUACGGGGGGCAGCAGUGAGGAAUAUUGGUCAAUGGGCUUACGCCUGAACCAGCCAAGUCGCGUGAGGGAAGACUGCCCUAUGGGUUGUAAACCUCUUUUGUCAGGGAGCAACGCCGGCUACGUGUAGCCGGACUGAGAGUACCUGAAGAAAAAGCAUCGGCUAACUCCGUGCCAGCAGCCGCGGGAAUACGGAGGAUGCGAGCGUUAUCCGGAUUUAUUGGGUUUAAAGGGUGCGUAGGCGGAAUGCCAAGUCAGCGGUAAAAUCGCGGGGCUCAACCUCGCUCCGCCGUUGAAACUGGCGGUCUUGAGUGGGCGAGAAGUAUGCGGAAUGCGUGGUGUAGCGGUGAAUUGCAUAGAUAUCACGCAGAACUCCGAUUGCGAAGGCAGCAUACCGGCGCCCAACUGACGCUGAAGCACGAAAGCGUGGGUAUCGAACAGGAUUAGAUACCCUGGUAGUC
RNAcentral lists this ribosomal RNA (460 nucleotides) under uncultured bacterium. RNAcentral describes it as "partial 16S ribosomal RNA". It matches the Rfam family "Bacterial small subunit ribosomal RNA", at positions 338 to 795 of the family's 1533-position model. The record is from RNAcentral.